AAAGAAUUAGUUAAAGAUAUAACAUUAGUAUGUCAAUCUAAAAUUAUUAAAAAUUUUAAUAUUCUUUA
Molecule: transfer RNA, 68 nt
Filed under: Stenosialis australiensis
Lineage: Eukaryota; Metazoa; Arthropoda; Insecta; Megaloptera; Sialidae
Description: tRNA-Asp
Source: RNAcentral